UACGGAAGGGGCAAGCGUUGUUCGGAAUCAUUGGGCGUAAAGGGCGCGUAGGUGGUUCUGUAUGUCUAUCGUGAAAGCGUACGGCUCAACCGUAUUUUGUCGGUAGAAACUGCAGGACUUGAGGCUGGGAGGGGCUGGUGGAAUUCCCUGUGUAGCGGUGAAAUGCGUAGAGAUGGGGGAGAACACUCGUGGCGAAGGCGGCCAGCUAGACCAGUUCUGACACUGAGGCGCGACAGCGUGGGGAGCAAACAGG
RNAcentral lists this ribosomal RNA (253 nucleotides) under uncultured bacterium. RNAcentral's name for it is "partial 16S ribosomal RNA". It matches the Rfam family "Bacterial small subunit ribosomal RNA", at positions 524 to 776 of the family's 1533-position model. The record is from RNAcentral.